UGGCGCAGUGGUUAAGUGCUUGGCUGCUAACCAAGAGGUUGGUGGUUCAAAUUCACC
This 57-nucleotide transfer RNA is filed under the name Loxodonta africana (African savanna elephant). The record is from Rfam by way of RNAcentral. Lineage: Eukaryota; Metazoa; Chordata; Mammalia; Proboscidea; Elephantidae.